AUACGAAGGUCCCAAGCGUUAUUCGGAAUCACUGGGCGUAAAGAGUACGUAGGCGGUUUGGUAAGUCAGGUGUGAAAUCCCGAAGCUCAACUUCGGUACUGCAUCCGAUACUGCCAGACUAGAGUAAUGGAGAGGCAGGUGGAAUUCUCGGUGUAGCAGUGAAAUGCGUGGAUAUCGAGAGGAAGACCAAUGGCGAAGGCAGCCUGCUGGACAUUUACUGACGCUGAGGUACGAAGGCUAGGGGAGCGAAAGGGAGUAGAAACCCCAGUAGUCC
Molecule: ribosomal RNA, 274 nt
Filed under: uncultured bacterium
Lineage: Bacteria
Description: partial 16S ribosomal RNA
Rfam family: Bacterial small subunit ribosomal RNA
Source: RNAcentral